Molecule: long non-coding RNA, 1950 nt
Organism: Eleginops maclovinus (Patagonian blennie)
Lineage: Eukaryota; Metazoa; Chordata; Actinopteri; Perciformes; Eleginopidae
Exons: 3
Source: RefSeq, a predicted model, not a curated record
UGUUCCGCAUGUCACAUUUAACGAACACCUUGCGAAAAUGGAUAAAGCAGCAUGGCACAAGAUGAGCGGUCUUAGUUUUACAAACAUGUGUAUUAACAUAUAUAGGCCUACUAUAACUUAGAAGAAAGAAGACAAGAACAACGUUAUCACGUUUAAGUUACGUAGGAGCAAGGCUACGAGGUGUCAAGGCUCGGUCUGAUCUAGGAUAAAGCCCCGUUUUUAACCAUGACGGACCUGUAGCCUAUUUAAGAGGACUUUGCGGUGCACAAGACUUGCAGAUUAACUAAUGGUUAUCCACCUCUUUGAUGCCAGCUGAAGGGGAGCGAGCAAAACAGGAACAGGGAAAGAUGGAGUGCAACGGAGAUGAGGGGAUGGGGAUGGAAAGACGGAAGAAAGUAAUACAAAGAGACAUGCGUGGAUGAAAGAAGCAAAUCCCUCAUAACCAUGAAUUAUCGGUGUGUGGCAAUGUGCGAGAAAGAGUCUUCAUCACCACUGUUGAUAUACGCACAACCUCAUUCGAAAGCACAAAGAGCACUUUGCACGGGCAGACAUUAUCAACCGUACUCUUAACUCAACAAAGACUGGAAUGAAAAGAAGCAACCACGUAUUGUACAAUAAAAGCUGCCAGUAAUUACGUUCCAAUUUUCACUUUAACAACACUGUACUUCAUUGACAUCAUGUUCAAUUAAAACUGCAUUUCUGCUCGCAGUGAAUGUAGAAUGUAUUUGAAUAGCUGAAUACAUAAUGCACAAAUACAAACAUCUGUAAGGAGAGAUAUUGUUAUGAAGUUCUACAUUGUUUGGAUAAGGAUAAAAACAUUGGCAGAUGAGAGAUGCAAUGGUGGCCUUGCAUUAUAAUUAUAAGAUGUAAGCACUUAAAGGACAAUUGAGACAGCCAUUAUCCUCCUUGUUAUGCUUUCAGCCAAUCUCGUACUGCGUGGAGAUAUUUUCAUCCCUUCACCAAUGAUGAUAUGCCAACACCUUCCUUUGGGUAAAUAUCUCAUUGUUUUUAAAGGUCAUGUCCCAAAUACCGAUUCAUAGCGCAUGCAAAAGGGCAGAUGUUCUUCAAUCAAACCCCAGCUAAGGUCAUUUGCACAGAGAAAAAUCCAUCUCUACACUGUAUCUGUUAUCUAUAAUCUUCUAACCAUCCGUGCAUCUUAUCUGUUUUCCAUCUGUGUGGAUUAGCGCCUAUCAGCAGGGCAAAGGGUGAUUUCAGUGAAGCUCUUGAGUUAUGCUUUCAAUACAGUAUACUGCGAUACAUUUACUGUAAUUUGUUUCUUGCACUAGAUCUACUUCAAUUGAAUUUGAAUUAAUAUGCUCAAUAAUAUCAAUGUCAAGAAACAAUAUGUGUUUAUGUUAACAUGCUGAUAUGCAUUCCCCUGUAGCAAUAUGUGCAUUCCUGCAAGGUAAACUCAUCCACAUGCUCAGCUCCUCUUCAGCUCUACUGAAAGCUGCACACACAGACGGGAAAGGCUGACGGGGCUCCACUCAAACUGUCAAACUGCAUCUUCAACUUAAAUGGUGUUUUUACUUCAGUUAGUGCUGUUUUGCUUUUGAAAUGACACUUUGGAGCUGAAUCAUAGAUUUAAAUAUUCAGCCUUCACAUUUAGUCACUUGUUUAUGAAAAAGGGUUUGUGAGGGAGUUGUUUUGAAAAGAUAUUCAUGAAUAAUGCACAGAAGAAGAUGUGUCAGAAAGAGAGCUGUAUAAUCUCAAUGCAGAAGCACGAGUGAUUUGAAUUAUAAACAAUUUCACUUUACAGUCUUGUACAGUGUUCUUAAAAAUAAAAAAUAGUAACCACUGUUUACUCAGUCCCGCCUUCACUCUCGCUGCUCUUGUCAAUCUUUUCAUUCCAGCGAGUUUACAGUAAUAAUGUUGACAGAUAAGUCACUUAAAACUAAAAAAUUGUCACUUGAAGUCGGACAGAUGGAACAAAAAUAAUUGUGUUGUUAA